UGGAGUUGAGGAUGGAGACGGUAGAUGAU
Molecule: small RNA, 29 nt
Filed under: Arabidopsis thaliana (thale cress)
Lineage: Eukaryota; Viridiplantae; Streptophyta; Magnoliopsida; Brassicales; Brassicaceae
Description: ATSL186260
Source: RNAcentral